UCCCACUCCACCCAGCCUGAGUGUUACUCCACUCAGUCGUACCUGCUUUUUUAUAAGACAGUAGAAUGCCUGCAGCCCUGUUGUUUUAAAAUCCAAAUUGAAAAUUUUUCCGGAGUCAAAGUCAAGUCCCCAGGAAUGGUGGCAGCAAUCUUCUUCCAAGUUUAACGUUCGGCAACACCAUUCACCUCAUUCAAGUAACACGGAGAUCAGGGAAUGAAAAUCCUGAGGAUUCACCUUCUGGCUCUGCUACUGAUUGUUCAGUGACUCCAGGCAAAUUAGCCCUGAGCUAACAUCUGCUGCCAAUCCUCCUCUUUUUGCUGCGGAAGACUGGCCCUGAGCUAACAUCUGUGCCCAUCUUCCUCUACUGUGUAUGUGGGACACCUGCCACAGCAUGGCUUGCCAAGCGGUGCCAUGUCCGCACCCAGGAUCCCAACCCAUGAACUCCAGGCCACCAAAGCGGAACAUGCAAACUUAACUGCUGCGCCACUGGGCCGGCCCCCUGAUAUUCAAAUUUUACAUUGUUAUUCACAGUUAAGUCAGAUCCUGAAUGUGACUACAAACAAUUGCAUUUCUUUCCUUCUACAACUUUUCUGUUUCCCUGAAGGUUUUGGUGGCAAGUUUAUGUUGGCCUCCCAGUAGAUGGUUCUCAUGCUCCAUCUGUCUUGAAGAAGUAAGUUAUCUUGAUGUAAGUGGUUCACAUAUCAAGGAACAACAGGACGCCUCUAGGAGCUAAUGUUGGUGACAAGCUAGAAACUGAAGCUUCAGUCCAGCAGCUGCAAAGAAAUGAAUUCUACCAACAACCCAUGGAAACUUGGGAGUGGAUCUUUCCCCAGUCAAACUUCCAGAUGAGAACAUAGGCCAGAUGACACCUCGACUGCAGCCUUGUAAGACCUUGAGCAGAGAACACAGAUAAAUAGUCCC
This 921-nucleotide long non-coding RNA is filed under the name Equus asinus (donkey). Its description in RNAcentral is "lncRNA (ENSEASG00005037937.1)". The record is from RNAcentral. Lineage: Eukaryota; Metazoa; Chordata; Mammalia; Perissodactyla; Equidae.